GACGAACGCUGGCGGCGUGCCUAAUACAUGCAAGUUGAGCGCUGAAGGUUGGUACUUGUACCAACUGGAUGAGCAGCGAACGGGUGAGUAACGCGUGGGGAAUCUGCCUUUGAGCGGGGGACAACAUUUGGAAACGAAUGCUAAUACCGCAUAAAAACUUUAAACACAAGUUUUAAGUUUGAAAGAUGCAAUUGCAUCACUCAAAGAUGAUCCCGCGUUGUAUUAGCUAGUUGGUGAGGUAAAGGCUCACCAAGGCGAUGAUACAUAGCCGACCUGGGAGGGUGAUCGGCCACAUUGGGACUGAGACACGGCCCAAACGCCUACGGGAGGCAGCAGUAGGGAAUCUUAGGCAAUGGACGAAAGUCUGACCGAGCAACGCCGCGUGAGUGAAGAAGGUUUUCGGAUCGUAAAACUCUGUUGGUAGAGAAGAACGUUGGUGAGAGUGGAAAGCUCAUCAAGUGACGGUAACUACCCAGAAAGGGACGGCUAACUACGUG
Molecule: ribosomal RNA, 497 nt
Filed under: uncultured bacterium
Lineage: Bacteria
Description: partial 16S ribosomal RNA
Rfam family: Bacterial small subunit ribosomal RNA
Source: RNAcentral